AGUGUUUAAUGUGGUAUGGCGUGGACUGUGAAACGAUGAAUUUGUGGCUGAAAUCAUGGAGAACAAUCACAGUUUUUGAGGAAUUUAAUAUCAUUUUGACGACUAGUCGAAGUAUUCUUUGGCCAAUUGAUCAUUAUGGUGUUAUUUCUACUCUAAAAUGUGUUGUCCUGAUUUCACCUACAAGUUCAUCAUCGUCUGCAUUGUAUGAUAACCAUACAACGGCCUUCAAAUCUGCUGCGGAAAAUAUUCCCAGCGACUUGCCGUUCAUAUCGGCUACUUCGUAGGAGCUGUUGCCCUUUCUCGCAACCACGACACACGGCUUAUACUGCGGACCUAAUUUGGCGUUGAAGUUUUUGCCGGCCUCCGACAGCGCGAAACUCCUCUUGAAAAUUCGUUGUCCGACAGAGAACGUGGCAUCAUCAAUUGCAUCAAUGGGCUGAGAUAUCGUGGGGCGAAUCCCGAAGGCUUGCCAGAAAUCGUAGCCCAGAAUACAACGACGACUCAGACUUGGAGCUACCAGAACUGGUAUGGAACUCACAUUCGCUGCCAGCAUUGCAAUUCUGCAAUCUUCCCUAGUAUUACGGAAGAGGACGUCAAACUUUCGUUUUUCGUCCCACGGGCUCGACAUACUGUGGAAGAUCCGGACCAUGUCCAAGUAAAAGUCCUGGAACUUCUCUCUGGGACCCUGCUUCCGAUUGUUAGCCUGCCGUUCAUAGACGUAAUCUAUAUCGACUGGCGGCUACGCAGAUUUCGUUCGGCAACGCUACGUGUGCCUUCUACCGGCAUGCUACGGAUCUUCAACUCGUACUCUAGCUCAUCUAUUGUCAGAUGGCUAGGAUUCAUCGCGUGGUACCACGAUACGAAAUGGGACAUAGCCAUCUCUUCAACAGGCAUUCAACUAAGAAAAUCGAAUAUUGAAUUAAAAAAAAGAAACUACGGAAUCCUUUCAAGUGGAUUACCACCUAAAAAAAUUGAAAAUCCUAGAGAAAAGAAAUACUUCUGUUCAAAGAAGCUGUAAAUUAAAAAAUCCUAAAAUUUGUUCACGCUCCCUAAUGAAGCAAAUAAUUUGAAAAUCCUAGUUUUAG
Long non-coding RNA from Armigeres subalbatus, 1085 nucleotides. RefSeq lists it as uncharacterized. The transcript has 5 exons. Lineage: Eukaryota; Metazoa; Arthropoda; Insecta; Diptera; Culicidae. The record is from RefSeq and is a predicted model, not a curated record.